CCGAUGCAAACUACGAAUACCGAAGAAUGUUAUCACGGGAGACACACGGCGGGUGCUAACGUCCGUCGUGAAGAGGGAAACAACCCAGACCGCCAGCUAAGGUCCCAAAGUCAUGGUUAAGUGGGAAACGAUGUGGGAAGGCACAGACAGCCAGGAUGUUGGCUUAGAAGCAGCCAUCAUUUAAAGAAAGCGUAAUAGCUCACUGGUCGAGUCGGCCUGCGCGGAAGAUGUAACGGGGCUAAACCAUGCACCGAAGCUGCGGCAGCGACACUAUGUGUUGUUGGGUAGGGGAGCGUUCUGUAAGCCUGCGAAGGUGACCUGUGAGGGUUGCUGGAGGUAUCAGAAGUGCGAAUGCUGACAUAAGUAACGAUAAAGCGGGUGAAAAGCCCGCUCGCCGGAAGACCAAGGGUUCCUGUCCAACGUUAAUCGGGGCAGGGUGAGUCGACCCCUAAGGCGAGGCCGAAAGGCGUAGUCGAUGGGAAACAGGUUAAUAUUCCUGUACUUGGUGUUACUGCGAAGGGGGGACGGAGAAGGCUAUGUUAGCCGGGCGACGGUUGUCCCGGUUUAAGCAUGUAGGCUGAUUAUCCAGGCAAAUCCGGAUAAUCAAGGCUGAGGUGUGAUGACGAGGCACUACGGUGCUGAAGUAACAAAUGCCCUGCUUCCAGGAAAAGCCUCUAAGCAUCAGGUAACAUCAAAUCGUACCCCAAACCGACACAGGUGGUCAGGUAGAGAAUACCAAGGCGCUUGAGAGAACUCGGGUGAAGGAACUAGGCAAAAUGGUGCCGUAACUUCGGGAGAAGGCACGCUGGUGUGUAGGUGAAGUCCCUGCGGAUGGAGCUGAGACCAGUCGAAGAUACCAGCUGGCUGCAACUGUUUAUUAAAAACACAGCACUGUGCAAACACGAAAGUGGACGUAUACGGUGUGACGCCUGCCCGGUGCCGGAAGGUUAAUUGAUGGGGUUAUCCGUAAGGAGAAGCUCUUGAUCGAAGCCCCGGUAAACGGCGGCCGUAACUAUAACGGUCCUAAGGUAGCGAAAUUCCUUGUCGGGUAAGUUCCGACCUGCACGAAUGGCGUAAUGAUGGCCAGGCUGUCUCCACCCGAGACUCAGUGAAAUUGAACUCGCUGUGAAGAUGCAGUGUACCCGCGGCAAGACGGAAAGACCCCGUGAACCUUUACUAUAGCUUGACACUGAACAUUGAGCCUUGAUGUGUAGGAUAGGUGGGAGGCUUUGAAGCGUGGACGCCAGUCUGCGUGGAGCCAACCUUGAAAUACCACCCUUUAAUGUUUGAUGUUCUAACGUUGGCCCCUUACCGGGGUUGCGGACAGUGUCUGGUGGGUAGUUUGACUGGGGCGGUCUCCUCCCAAAGCGUAACGGAGGAGCACGAAGGUUAGCUAAUCCUGGUCGGACAUCAGGAGGUUAGUGCAAUGGCAUAAGCUAGCUUGACUGCGAGCGUGACGGCGCGAGCAGGUGCGAAAGCAGGUCAUAGUGAUCCGGUGGUUCUGAAUGGAAGGGCCAUCGCUCAACGGAUAAAAGGUACUCCGGGGAUAACAGGCUGAUACCGCCCAAGAGUUCAUAUCGACGGCGGUGUUUGGCACCUCGAUGUCGGCUCAUCACAUCCUGGGGCUGAAGUAGGUCCCAAGGGUAUGGCUGUUCGCCAUUUAAAGUGGUACGCGAGCUGGGUUUAGAACGUCGUGAGACAGUUCGGUCCCUAUCUGCCGUGGGCGCUGGAGAAUUGAGGGGGGCUGCUCCUAGUACGAGAGGACCGGAGUGGACGCAUCACUGGUGUUCGGGUUGUCAUGCCAAUGGCACUGCCCGGUAGCUAAAUGCGGAAGAGAUAAGUGCUGAAAGCAUCUAAGCACGAAACUUGCCCCGAGAUGAGUUCUCCCUGAGACUUUAAGUCUCCUGAAGGAACGUUAAAGACGAUGACGUUGAUAGGCCGGGUGUGUAAGCGCAGCGAUGCGUUGAGCUAACCGGUACUAAUGAACCGUGAGGCUUAACCUUACAACGCCGAAG
RNAcentral lists this ribosomal RNA (2015 nucleotides) under Klebsiella pneumoniae. RNAcentral's name for it is "bacterial LSU rRNA". It matches the Rfam family "Bacterial large subunit ribosomal RNA", at positions 944 to 2925 of the family's 2925-position model. Lineage: Bacteria; Pseudomonadati; Pseudomonadota; Gammaproteobacteria; Enterobacterales; Enterobacteriaceae. The record is from RNAcentral.